RNAcentral lists this ribosomal RNA (502 nucleotides) under uncultured bacterium. Its description in RNAcentral is "partial 16S ribosomal RNA". It matches the Rfam family "Bacterial small subunit ribosomal RNA", at positions 29 to 523 of the family's 1533-position model. The record is from RNAcentral.
AUUGAACGCUGGCGGCAUGCCUUACACAUGCAAGUCGAACGGCAGCACGGGUGCUUGCACCUGGUGGCGAGUGGCGAACGGGUGAGUAAUACAUCGGAACGUACCUUGUCGUGGGGGAUAACGCAGCGAAAGCUGUGCUAAUACCGCAUACGCCCUGAGGGGGAAAGCGGGGGAUCGAAAGACCUCGCGCGAUUAGAGCGGCCGAUGCCUGAUUAGCUUGUUGGUGGGGGUAAAAGCCCACCAAGGCGACGAUCAGUAGCUGGUCUGAGAGGACGAUCAGCCACACUGGGACUGAGACACGGCCCAGACUCCUACGGGAGGCAGCAGUGGGGAAUUUUAGACAAUGGGGGCAACCCUGAUCCAGCAAUGCCGCGUGAGUGAAGAAGGCCUUCGGGUUGUAAGGCUCUUUUGUCAGGGAAGAAACACCGGCUCUAACACAGUCCGGGAAUGACGGUACCUGAAGAAUAAGCACCGGCUAACUACGUGCCAGCCGCCGCUGUAA